RNAcentral lists this ribosomal RNA (427 nucleotides) under uncultured bacterium. RNAcentral's name for it is "partial 16S ribosomal RNA". It matches the Rfam family "Bacterial small subunit ribosomal RNA", at positions 355 to 774 of the family's 1533-position model. The record is from RNAcentral.
UGGGGAAUAUUGCACAAUGGGCGCAAGCCUGAUGCAGCCAUGCCGCGUGUAUGAAGAAGGCCUUCGGGUUGUAAAGUACUUUCAGCGGGGAGGAAGGGAGUAAAGUUAAUACCUUUGCUCAUUGACGUUACCCGCAGAAGAAGCACCGGCUAACUCCGUGCCAGCAGCCGCGGUAAUACGGAGGGAGCAAGCGUUACUCGGAAUUACUGGGCGUAAAGCGCACGCAGGCGGUUUGUUAAGUCAGAUGUGAAAUCCCCGGGCUCAACCUGGGAACUGCAUCUGAUACUGGCAAGCUUGAGUCUCGUAGAGGGGGGUAGAAUUCCAGGUGUAGCGGUGAAAUGCGUAGAGAUCUGGAGGAAUACCGGUGGCGAAGGCGGCCCCCUGGACGAAGACUGACGCUCAGGUGCGAAAGCGUGGGGAGCAAACA